UAAUACGAGGGGGGCAAGCGUUGUUCGGAAUUAUUGGGCGUAAAGGGCGCGUAGGCGGUCUGAUAAGUCUUGUGUGAAAUCUCUGGGCUCAACCCAGAGUCUGCACAGGAAACUGUCGGGCUUGAGUAUGGGAGAGGUGCGUGGAAUUUCCGGUGUAGCGGUGAAAUGCGUAGAUAUCGGAAGGAACACCUGUGGCGAAAGCGGCGCACUGGACCAAAACUGACGCUGAGGCGCGAAAGCUAGGGGAGCAAACAGGAUUAGAUACCCUGGUAGUCCUAGCCCUAAACGAUGAUUGCUUGAUGUGGCAGGUACCCAAUCCUGUCGUGUCGAAGCUAACGCGAUAAGCAAUCCGCCUGGGGAGUACGGUCGCAAGGCUG
Molecule: ribosomal RNA, 377 nt
Filed under: uncultured bacterium
Lineage: Bacteria
Description: bacterial SSU rRNA
Rfam family: Bacterial small subunit ribosomal RNA
Source: RNAcentral